This 952-nucleotide ribosomal RNA is filed under the name Limosilactobacillus fermentum. RNAcentral describes it as "bacterial SSU rRNA". It matches the Rfam family "Bacterial small subunit ribosomal RNA", at positions 386 to 1332 of the family's 1533-position model. The record is from RNAcentral. Lineage: Bacteria; Bacillati; Bacillota; Bacilli; Lactobacillales; Lactobacillaceae.
AUGGAGCACACCGCGUGAGUGAAGAAGGGUUUCGGCUCGUAAAGCUCUGUUGUUAAAGAAGAACACGUAUGAGAGUAACUGUUCAUACGUUGACGGUAUUUAACCAGAAAGUCACGGCUAACUACGUGCCAGCAGCCGCGGUAAUACGUAGGUGGCAAGCGUUAUCCGGAUUUAUUGGGCGUAAAGAGAGUGCAGGCGGUUUUCUAAGUCUGAUGUGAAAGCCUUCGGCUUAACCGGAGAAGUGCAUCGGAAACUGGAUAACUUGAGUGCAGAAGAGGGUAGUGGAACUCCAUGUGUAGCGGUGGAAUGCGUAGAUAUAUGGAAGAACACCAGUGGCGAAGGCGGCUACCUGGUCUGCAACUGACGCUGAGACUCGAAAGCAUGGGUAGCGAACAGGAUUAGAUACCCUGGUAGUCCAUGCCGUAAACGAUGAGUGCUAGGUGUUGGAGGGUUUCCGCCCUUCAGUGCCGGAGCUAACGCAUUAAGCACUCCGCCUGGGGAGUACGACCGCAAGGUUGAAACUCAAAGGAAUUGACGGGGGCCCGCACAAGCGGUGGAGCAUGUGGUUUAAUUCGAAGCUACGCGAAGAACCUUACCAGGUCUUGACAUCUUGCGCCAACCCUAGAGAUAGGGCGUUUCCUUCGGGAACGCAAUGACAGGUGGUGCAUGGUCGUCGUCAGCUCGUGUCGUGAGAUGUUGGGUUAAGUCCCGCAACGAGCGCAACCCUUGUUACUAGUUGCCAGCAUUAAGUUGGGCACUCUAGUGAGACUGCCGGUGACAAACCGGAGGAAGGUGGGGACGACGUCAGAUCAUCAUGCCCCUUAUGACCUGGGCUACACACGUGCUACAAUGGACGGUACAACGAGUCGCGAACUCGCGAGGGCAAGCAAAUCUCUUAAAACCGUUCUCAGUUCGGACUGCAGGCUGCAACUCGCCUGCACGAAGUCGGAAU